RNAcentral lists this unclassified non-coding RNA (329 nucleotides) under soil metagenome. RNAcentral describes it as "partial contains 5.8S ribosomal RNA, internal transcribed spacer 2, and large subunit ribosomal RNA". The stretch from base 1 to 120 matches the Rfam family "5.8S ribosomal RNA", at positions 35 to 154 of the family's 154-position model. The record is from RNAcentral.
GAUGAAGAACGUAGCAAAAUGCGAUAAGUAAUGUGAAUUGCAGAAUUCAGUGAAUCAUCGAAUCUUUGAACGCACAUUGCGCCCGCCAGUAUUCUGGCGGGCAUGCCUGUUCGAGCGUCAUUUCAACCCUCAAGCACAGCUUGGUGUUGGGACUCGCGUUAAUUCGCGUUCCCCAAAUUGAUUGGCGGUCACGUCGAGCUUCCAUAGCGUAGUAGUAAAACCCUCGUUACUGGUAAUCGUCGCGGCCACGCCGUUAAACCCCAACUUCUGAAUGUUGACCUCGGAUCAGGUAGGAAUACCCGCUGAACUUAAGCAUAUCAUAAGCAGGA